This is a small nuclear RNA of Colossoma macropomum (tambaqui), 153 nucleotides long. RefSeq annotates it as U12 minor spliceosomal RNA. Lineage: Eukaryota; Metazoa; Chordata; Actinopteri; Characiformes; Serrasalmidae. The record is from RefSeq and is a predicted model, not a curated record. The transcript has a single exon.
AUGCCUUAAACUGAUGAGUAAGGAAAAUAACGAUGCGGGGUGACGCCCGCAUCCUCGCUAGAGCUCGCGAGUUGAAUUUUUGAACGGGUACAGGUCUGACUAGCGAGUGUUUGGCCUACUUUGCUGGACGCCCUGGGUACCAGGAUCUACCCG